AAGAGCUGUGUGCAAGGCAAAGGGCACAGCAGAGAGUGGGGAUUAGGGAAAACAUGCUGCUACUCACCAACUGAAGGCUGUUUCCACACAGGAAUCUAAACUCAGUACUGGCAGAACUAAUUUUUGAGGAGUCAGGAAUUACUAUUUUAAUGUAAACUAUGCUGCUUUAUAAAAUACAGUUUAGGCUAACCCUCUACCAGUUGGCAAUCUUUGGUGUGUGUAGCCAGACACCUGGCCUGUGGCUUCACGUUUCAGAUGAGGAGGGAGAGGACUCCAGGGACCAGAACGGGAAGCACUUACUUGACAGAGAGGGAGAAGUCCCCGGGGGCACUCUCACUCUCUCGGAUGAGAAAGGCCCCGUCAUGCCGCUGUUUGCUAAGCAUUUCUUCUGCCUUGGCUCUGGGGAUUUUGCCAAAAAACCACCUAAGGAAGGAAGACAAGCCAGUCAACAUCUGCUUCCCCACAAAGAGACGGGAUAUCCAGCCUCCGAAAUAUCCUGGGAGAUACGAUCUGUACUUAAUUUUCUGCACAAACUAUGGAAAAGGUAUCUUUUAGGAAAAUGGGCCUCACCUCCAAGGAACAGAAUAACCACAGAUGCUCUGCAAGGAGAAGAAAAGAUAGGAUUCCUGGCAUUUUAAGACAGACAGAGGGACAGAGACAGAGACACAGGCAGAGGGAGAAGCAGGCU
This is a long non-coding RNA of Canis lupus familiaris (dog), 688 nucleotides long. RefSeq lists it as uncharacterized. NCBI's taxonomy places the organism in Eukaryota, Metazoa, Chordata, Mammalia, Carnivora, Canidae. The record is from RefSeq and is a predicted model, not a curated record. The transcript is spliced from 4 exons.